RNAcentral lists this ribosomal RNA (465 nucleotides) under uncultured bacterium. Its description in RNAcentral is "partial 16S ribosomal RNA". It matches the Rfam family "Bacterial small subunit ribosomal RNA", at positions 338 to 795 of the family's 1533-position model. The record is from RNAcentral.
CCUACGGGAGGCAGCAGUAGGGAAUCUUCCACAAUGGGCGAAAGCCUGAUGGAGCAACGCCGCGUGGGUGAAGAAGGUCUUCGGAUCGUAAAACUCUGUUGUUAGAGAAGAAAGUGCGUGAGAGUAACUGUUCACGUUUCGACGGUAUCUAACCAGAAAGCCACGGCUAACUACGUGCCAGCAGCCGCGGUAAUACGUAGGUGGCAAGCGUUAUCCGGAUUUAUUGGGCGUAAAGGGAACGCAGGCGGUCUUUUAAGUCUGAUGUGAAAGCCUUCGGCUUAACCGGAGUAGUGCAUUGGAAACUGGGAGACUUGAGUGCAGAAGAGGAGAGUGGAACUCCAUGUGUAGCGGUGAAAUGCGUAGAUAUAUGGAAGAACACCAGUGGCGAAAGCGGCUCUCUGGUCUGUAACUGACGCUGAGGUUCGAAAGCGUGGGUAGCAAACAGGAUUAGAUACCCUUGUAGUC